UGGGGAAUAUUGGACAAUGGGCGCAAGCCUGAUCCAGCCAUGCCGCGUGUGUGAAGAAGGCCUUUUGGUUGUAAAGCACUUUAAGCGAGGAGGAGGCUACUUGGAUUAAUACUCUAGGAUAGUGGACGUUACUCGCAGAAUAAGCACCGGCUCACUCUGUGCCAGCAGCCUUGGUAAUACAGAGGGUGCGAGCGUUAAUCGGAUUUACUGGGCGUAAAGCGUGCGUAGGCGGCUUCUUAAGUCGGAUGUGAAAUCCCUGAGCUUAACUUAGGAAUUGCAUUCGAUACGGGGAAGCUAGAGUAUGGGAGAGGAUGGUAGAAUUCCAGGUUUAGCGGUGAAAUGCGUAGAGAUCUGGAGGAAUACCGAUGGCAAAGGGAGCCAUCUGGCCUAAUACUGACGCUGAGGUACGAAAGCAUGGGGAGCAAACAGG
Molecule: ribosomal RNA, 430 nt
Filed under: bacterium
Lineage: Bacteria
Description: partial 16S ribosomal RNA
Rfam family: Bacterial small subunit ribosomal RNA
Source: RNAcentral